This 461-nucleotide ribosomal RNA is filed under the name Clostridioides difficile. RNAcentral's name for it is "partial 23S ribosomal RNA". It matches the Rfam family "Bacterial large subunit ribosomal RNA", at positions 1323 to 1793 of the family's 2925-position model. The record is from RNAcentral. Lineage: Bacteria; Bacillati; Bacillota; Clostridia; Peptostreptococcales; Peptostreptococcaceae.
GAGAAUCCCACAGGCCGUAAACCCAAGGUUUCCAGGGGAAGGUUCGUCCGCCCUGGGUUAGUCGGGACCUAAGCUGAGGCCGAAAGGCGUAGGGGAUGGACAACAGGUUGAUAUUCCUGUACUACCGAUAACCGUUUGAGAGAAGGGAUGACACAGUAGGAUAAGCUAAGCACACUGUUGGUUAUGUGUGCCCAAGCAUUGAGGCAGUCAAAGUAGGCAAAUCCGCUUUGAUAAUACUGGGAUGUGAUGGGGAGCGAAAUUUAGUAGCGAAGUAGCUGAUUUCACACUGUCAAGAAAAGUCUCUAUCGAGGUUAAAGGUACCCGUACCGCAAACCGACACAGGUGGGUGAGGAGAGUAUCCUAAGGCCAGCGAGAGAACUGUUGUUAAGGAACUCGGCAAAAUGACCCCGUAACUUAGGGAUAAGGGGUGCCACCAUCAGGUGGCCGCAGAGAAUAGGCCC